AUCUUGAAGAUUAAGCCAUGCAUGCUAAGUAUGAACUGGUUUUAAGGUGAAACUGCGUACGGCUCAUUACAUCAGCUAUAACUUUCUUUGAUCAUAAAUUCUAAAUGGAAUAACCGAGGAAAAGCCUGGGCUAAUACAUGCGACAAUUCCGGUAGUAAUAUCGGAAUGCUUUUAUUAGAUCAAAACCUUCUAGUUCUUUAACCGGAACUGUUUGUUGGUGACUCUAAAUAACUUUUGUGUUGAUCGUAUGACCUUUGUGUCGACGACAUAUCUUUCAAGUGUCUGACUUAUCAACUUUAGACGGUACAUUAUAUGUCUACCGUGGUUGUAACGAGUACAGAGAAUCAGGGUUUGGUUCUGGAGAGGCCGCCUGAGAAAACGGCGACCACUUCCAAGGAAGGCAGCAGGCG
This 410-nucleotide ribosomal RNA is filed under the name uncultured eukaryote. RNAcentral's name for it is "SSU rRNA". It matches the Rfam family "Eukaryotic small subunit ribosomal RNA", at positions 35 to 434 of the family's 1831-position model. The record is from RNAcentral.